This 491-nucleotide ribosomal RNA is filed under the name uncultured bacterium. RNAcentral describes it as "partial 16S ribosomal RNA". It matches the Rfam family "Bacterial small subunit ribosomal RNA", at positions 29 to 507 of the family's 1533-position model. The record is from RNAcentral.
AGUGAACGCUGGCGGUAGGCCUAACACAUGCAAGUCGAACGGCAGCACAGUAAGAGCUUGCUCUUACGGGUGGCGAGUGGCGGACGGGUGAGGAAUACAUCGGAAUCUACUUUUUCGUGGGGAUAACGUAGGGAAACUUACGCUAAUACCGCAUACGACCUACGGGUGAAAGCAGGGGAUCUUCGGACCUUGCGCGAUUGAAUGAGCCGAUGUCGGAUUAGCUAGUUGGCGGGGUAAAGGCCCACCAAGGCGACGAUCCGUAGCUGGUCUGAGAGGAUGAUCAGCCACACUGGAACUGAGACACGGUCCAGACUCCUACGGGAGGCAGCAGUGGGGAAUAUUGGACAAUGGGCGCAAGCCUGAUCCAGCCAUACCGCGUGGGUGAGGAAGGCCUUCGGGUUGUAAAGCCCUUUUGUUGGGGAAGAAAAGCAGCAGGUUAAUACCCCGCUGUUCUGACGGUACCCAAAGAAUAAGCACCGGCUAACUUCGUG